UACACUGAACAAAAAUUGUUGCGAUAUAGCAUAUGAUUUGUCAUUUGAACGACAUAAAAACUCAAUGUUGACGAUUUCGAAUGGCAAUCAUCUAAAAAAUGGUGGAUUCAAGAUCGAAUGACUUCAUGUCUGUAUUGGAAUGAACAGUCUGUGAUAUUCGAAGAAUAGACAUAACGCCAUAUGAAUUAUUUGCACCCAACAAAGUAAACGAUGGUUCUUAUUAUUAUCAUCUCAACUAACAGUAGUUGAUCAUUCGUGUUUCAUCUGUUUCCAGUGUUUGGGCUGGCUCGAAUGACAGUCAUUUGAAGCGCUUCAUGCGUUUGCGAGAUAAGUUUUUUCAUUAUUUCUGUGCAGUCGCAAAAAGUUAGUUCGCGACAUCAAAACGUGAAAAUACUGCUGCUUGUCAUCUUCAAGACUAACGUACACUCGAAAAAUAGCUUUGGAGCUGAUAUCCUGGUAUUGGGAGAGAAACUAGCGUCCGGAUCAAAGGAUUUAUUUGCAUAUUUUCGAGCAAUGCCACUGACAUGGUGUCUUUCAACAUACACGGAAUAGCCGUUAUUUAGUGCACAUAACUGGCCAAAGCCAUAGUAUGCAAGGCAAAGAGGGAGUACUGGAAAGGGAGUGAAAUAUACAAUAGGAUGGAUGCCAAAUAGCUGUCAAUUGAUGACUAUGUUGAUCGGAACUAUUAUUCUGGUGAAAUGGUGGCACUAACGAUUCAAUAUCGUACGGGAAUCACAGCCCUAGGAACCACGAGUCCCGAGAGAUUGUAGUUACAGAAAACACCAGGACCGCACAAACGUAAGAGAUUCUGUGAUGGACCAACGUUGCCGCAAGAGAACACUGGUAGCAAUAGGUUUGUUCCAGUACCAGGAGAAACUGGAAGUACUCCGGAGAAAACAGGGAGAAAAUCGUUCCUGUAUUAUCUUCUUUUCUUUUCUUUCUUCUGGUAGCAAAUCGGAGUGAAAAGGAGCAAGAAUUUUUUGUUCCGGAGCAACAGGGAGUGACUUCCGUGUACUGGAACAAACCUAAUCAUUGUUAGCAGAAAGGAAACCACUAUUUUGCGCUCAAGCUAGAAACCAAGUCACCCAGCAAUUUUUAAGUUUACCGUAAAACUUGAAGGCACUGAGCUAGAUCAGCAACCUCCCGGUGCGAUUGUUAAAAGUCGAUCAACGAUCCAGUAGAAUUACGCACUAGACAAGAGAAUAUGUCCGGAAUUACAAAUUCUGACUCAUCAGAUAUCUUUAAAAAAGCACUAGCUCGGAAACGGUAUCAAUCCAAACUAUGAAAAGUUUCGACUGACUCCGACGCAAAUUCGUUGAUUGCGCGAAUAUUAUAUUCUGGUACUGUUGGGUAAAUUUCACAUUGAAGAAUAAUUCCGUUGCUAGCUGCCAUGAUUCAGCAUCGAGAGAUAGAACCUAUAGUCGAGAUCGAACCAAGAGAGCAAGGCAAACCGUUGUCACUAAACGCCCUAGCACUAAACUAAAACAAGUUAUAUUACACAUAAGACAUAACUUUCUCCGCUAAAGGAAGGCAACAAAUUUUUACCGUUAAAUUUGAACACUGCGUAAUUGUCUCUCUUCGUUUACUUUCGUAGUCACCGACGUUACGUAACAUGUUUUAACUGAAGAAUUUUUUUCGAAGACUCACGUACCGGGGGAGUAGCGAUAAAAAAAGUUGUGGUUCAGCCGGAAUUGAACUGGAUUUCUGGCUGGUUCCAGUUCGUAUUCUGGCUCCAGUAACACAACCGAUUCUAAUUAGCCACUGAAGUCGGAAUACGAACUGGAACCAGCCAGAAUUCCGGUUCAUUUCCGGCUGAGCUUAACUGGGUGCUAAAGCUGUAAGAUUGUCAUGAUGACAUUGGUAACGAAACUAUAUUAAGCAAAGUGUCAAAAGUUUGAAUUCAAUGUGAGGUUAUUUUUUAUACUACGGUAGCAUGUUACAAGCAUUUGGAUUGUGUUUUGAUGUUUUUAGAAUAUAUUAUUUUGAUCAAUAGUUUUUAAGAAACCAAUAACAAUA
This is a long non-coding RNA of Topomyia yanbarensis, 2016 nucleotides long. RefSeq lists it as uncharacterized. NCBI's taxonomy places the organism in Eukaryota, Metazoa, Arthropoda, Insecta, Diptera, Culicidae. The transcript is spliced from 3 exons. The record is from RefSeq and is a predicted model, not a curated record.